RNAcentral lists this ribosomal RNA (427 nucleotides) under uncultured bacterium. RNAcentral's name for it is "bacterial SSU rRNA". It matches the Rfam family "Bacterial small subunit ribosomal RNA", at positions 355 to 774 of the family's 1533-position model. The record is from RNAcentral.
UGGGGAAUUUUGGACAAUGGGCGCAAGCCUGAUCCAGCAAUGCCGCGUGCAGGAUGAAGGCCUUCGGGUUGUAAACUGCUUUUGUACGGAGCGAAAAGGUCUGCCCUAAUACGGUGGGCUCAUGACGGUACCGUAAGAAUAAGCACCGGCUAACUACGUGCCAGCAGCCGCGGUAAUACGUAGGGUGCGAGCGUUAAUCGGAAUUACUGGGCGUAAAGCGUGCGCAGGCGGUUAUAUAAGACAGAUGUGAAAUCCCCGGGCUCAACCUGGGACCUGCAUUUGUGACGGUAUAGCUAGAGUACGGUAGAGGGGGAUGGAAUUCCGCGUGUAGCAGUGAAAUGCGUAGAUAUGCGGAGGAACACCGAUAGCGAAGGCAAUCCCCUGGACCUGUACUGACGCUCAUACACGAAAGCGUGGGGAGCAAACA